CAUCCUUCCGGAAAUCACGAAUGUCCCGUGCCCAGAGCUUCCCUGACAACAGACAGGAAUACUCAGAUCGGGAAACUCAGCUUUAUGACAAAGGGGUCAAAGGUGGAACCUACCCCCGGCGCUACCACGUGUCUGUGCACCACAAGGACUACAGUGAUGAUCUCCCUGAACCAGACUACUUCCUAAUUUCUGCUUUUGUCCUGAUUCUUGGAGUGCUUGGGACAGCAGCCUCUGUGGAAUGAGGCAGGUGGGAGUGCGGACAGGAUGGGCUGGAGCUGGUAUUAUCUAUCACUUCUGGCUGAGACCUGGUUUGUACAUUCCACCUUGUAGCCCGGGGUGUCUCAGACCUGGUUUGUACAUUCCGCCUCGUAGCCCGGGGUGUGACUUGCUCUACUCUGGCCCUUGCACCCUUUCAGGCAGAAGAACAUUUCCCCGAAUACGGCGUCAUCAAGGCAACUUGUUCACCCUGGUGCCCUCCAGCCGCUCCCUGAGCACAAAUGGCGAGAACAUGGGUCUGGCUGUGCAGUACCUGGACCCCCGUGGGCGCCUGCGGAGUGCAGACAGC
Molecule: small RNA, 565 nt
Filed under: Pongo abelii (Sumatran orangutan)
Lineage: Eukaryota; Metazoa; Chordata; Mammalia; Primates; Hominidae
Description: processed transcript
Source: RNAcentral